RNAcentral lists this long non-coding RNA (705 nucleotides) under Gallus gallus (chicken). Lineage: Eukaryota; Metazoa; Chordata; Aves; Galliformes; Phasianidae. The record is from RNAcentral.
GCUGUAUUUUGACAUAAGGCACUAUGAUAUGAAUAUGCCAUACACUUGCCUUAUGUCACAUAUAUCCAUUGCUGACCAGUGACUUCUGUCAAAUACAAAAUGAAAAAGGUUCAGAAUACAGUGCAUUUUAAUGAAGGACAUCGUGUGAAGUCUUCCAGCAAAUGUUCUGAAGACGUUUUGAAAUACAAGCCUACAUUGUAACAUAAGCUUUUGUCAUGCUGCUUUGUUUUUUUGCGACAUCACUGGGGGGGAAUAGACUCAUCAUCCAUCACUAAGUCCCAAAACACAUUCUCAACCAUCCUGCUCUGUUCUAUUGCAGUCACUGUUCUCGAGACAAACUUGACCCAGAAACUUUGUUCAGAUUCUCCUACAAACGUUUAUACAUUCACAGCAGUCAUUCACUUUCAUUCUCCUUUUGUUUGGCACCUGCUGGUGUGAGUACCAAAGCCUGUAGAAUGUCAGAAAGGGAGAUGAUACCCACAAUGCUAUCUGCUUCAUUCACUACCACCAAACGAUGAACCUCAGCCUUCACUAUCCUAUCAACAAUGGUCUCCAGUGUUUCCAGCAUACUACACUUUACAACACCUUCAAAAUACUGAGAACGGUGCUGUAGGGCUUGUGUCACCGUGAUAUCUAGGUUAUUAUAGGUUUUUUCAGCAGCAAGGUUUAUUACAUCAAAUUUGGAAUAAAUAUCUACAACUUUUC